GCCUCUAUAGCUCAGUGGCAGAGCGUCUGUCUCGUAAACAGAAGGUCUGCGGUUCAAUGACCGCAUGGAGGCA
Molecule: non-coding RNA, 73 nt
Organism: Ancylostoma duodenale
Lineage: Eukaryota; Metazoa; Nematoda; Chromadorea; Rhabditida; Ancylostomatidae
Source: Rfam